CCCACUACCAAAACCACCAUAAAAAUUAGCUUGUUUUCAAGAAUUGCAGCCAUUGUUCUGCCAAGUAAAUAUAAUAUUGCUGUUGAAGCUGGUGAUUACAGGUGAAGAGUUUGUAGAGUGUCCGGCACAUUAGUUCUUUGAGGACUAAGGUUAUUUAUAGUUGUGUAUUAGUCCUUCCAUGGGAUUCCUUCAUAGUUGCACUCCCAUACUACCUGGUGAAUCCGGCAAGUCGUGAAUGAUGUUGACAAAUGAAUUUCAGUUUGUUGACGUUGCUACUUUCUAUGAGUUUCAACUUCCACGUUAUCUAGAUUUUGUAGUGUUAUGAGAAGCUGUGUUCCUGUUUCUUGGGAGUUGAUUUGUCUAAUGAUUAAGCUGUCUUUUUGUUGGUUCGUUAGGCUUUAGUCCAAGACUGAUCAAUUGUCUUUUGUAUUCUAUGACUAAGACCCUUGUUUUCCAAUUGUAUGUAACAACUAAUGAAAACUGAGAAGCUUUUGUGCAAAUAUGCUCUAGGCAUUCUAGACCGCAGUCCAAAAUCUCCAUUACAACAUUGCAUGAUCAAUUAUCUAUCAUGAAAACUCCUUUUCUAGAUGAUCUAUCUUCAAGUUCUGAAUGCUUUGAGAGUCUCAAUGCUGACCUACAAAGUAUCUGGAAAGCUUCUUAUUUUGUUCUAUCCUCUUCUAAAAUUUGCGACUAGCUUUCUGGGAAGUUGGAUAAAUGCAUUUUUGGAGCUAGACUUGUAGCCAUAAAAUUUUCUGUUAGAAUGUAGUUACUAGAAAAUAGAACAUUGAAUGGAAACUUGAAUUGUCGAGACCCAAAAUAAGUCCAUGCAGAAAUAUUCCAUUAGUUUUAACAAUUUUAUUUUGCAUUUAUUCACUUGUCUUUCCUUGUGUUAAUUUCUUUUUGCCACAGGACUUAGCAUACAGCUUCAGCUACUCAAGCCUAUGCAGGGACCCAUGCUCACCUCAAGUGAUGAAGAUGUUGAGGAAGGCUCUAUUGGAUUUUCAGUGGUAGGAGUUGAAAGAAUAAUGGCUAAUAGACAAAACGCAGCGCGAUAAAUAUGGGUUAAUGAAACGGUGCGUAUAAAGAAAUGCACAGGGAUGAAUUUCGGCGUCUCUUUCUAAGGCUAUGUCGAACUGAUGUCGAACUAAAAAAACACCUAACUGAUGCCGAAUUGGAAAAAAUCGAAGUGGUGCUGAAUUGGGAAACACCGAAUUGAUAUCGAACUAAAAAGUCAUGCCUUCCACAUACAUCAGAUUACGAAAAAGAAUUUAAGCGGGAAACAAAUAGUUAAUUAUGAAAGUAGUUAGCACUUUGUUGAGUAGAACCUCUAGAUCAUUCUAGUAGCUUCUGCUUUUAUAUAUAUAAGUUAACACAAAGCAAGCAAUAUAUAUGAAUUUUUUCUCUCUUCUAUUUUCUAUUAUAGUUAUUACAUUCUAUUCAUGGUAUCAGAGCUUGAUAAUCAAGUUUCUGUAGUAGUUAUGGCUAGUACCAGUAAUGUGACCCCAACUAUGAAUCAGAAGGGCCACCUCACUCUGCAUAAUUCUGAUUCUCCAGGAGCAGUGUUGGUGAGCAUACUACUCAUUGGAGAAAAUUACCUGACUUGGAGCAUAUCGAUACUGACUACACUGCGAACCAAGGAUAAAGUUGGUUUUGUAAUGGAAAAAUAAAAGAAAUUUGAGGAAGACUCUCAGGAUUUUGAACAAUGGCAAAAAGUCGAUAGCAUGGUAAUUUUUGUAUACCAUGACUUUUCCUGAACUAUGGGAAUAGUUGACUCAACAUUUUAGAGGCAGCAAUGGACCUCAGAUCUACUAGAUCGUGAGAAAUAAGCUUAUUCCAACAAGGCAACAUGAAUGUAAUGGUUUAUUUUACUAGACUCAAUAAAUUUUGGGAUGAAUUAACUUGUGUCAGACAACCUAUUUGUACUUGUGAUGCUGCAAAAGAGAUGAGUGACAUCUGUGAAAGCGAUAAAUUGAUCUAGUUCCUCAUGGAAUUAAAUUCAUUAUAUGAUCACGUUAGGAAUCAAAUCCUCCUCAUGAAUCUGUUUUUCCCAUUGAAUUGUGCAUAUGCCAUGGUAUUGAGAGUUGAAAAACUAAAAAAGGUUAACACAAAUCAUAAAAUUGUGUUUGAUAUACAAAUCAUAUGCCAUGGUUUCUUGGAAGUAUACUUCUAAGGAAUUAAUUUGACGGAAACUAGAUAUAAUUAUGAUUGGUAUAUAAAUCAUAAAAUUAUUUUUAAUUGGUAAAAGAUGAUAAUAUCUAUAAUAUAAUUUCAAAUGUAAUAAAUUAAGAGAUAAAUUGAUAAAUUCAAUACAAAUUAAUCCUUCCCAAAAUUUUGCUACGAAAGUCAUGAUCGAAAUAAUUUCCCAUAAAUUAACUUAAAAUGCAAACCAAAAAAAGAGUUUUUGCACUUUUCUGAAAAGUGUCACUCCCUUACUUUAUUUACCCUCAAUCAAACAAGACUUAAUAUUUACACUUAGAAUGCAUAUCAUACUAUGCUACUAUUUAGUCCUCCCCUUAUUUAUUAUUUUCAAUAAAAAAAUAUUUUUAUUUUUCUCAUCUUCCAUAUUUCAAAUCAAAGUCUUUACCCAAAAUUUUUCUUAAAAUUUUCAUUUAUUAUUUAAUUUAAUUUUUUACAUUAUUUAUAUUAUUAUAGAGUGAUAAUUUUUUUAUCUCACUUAGUUACUAAUCUAUUUAUGUGAUUAAAAUUAUAUAUUAAAUUAUUUAAAUUUAUAUAUCUUUUUUAAAAAAAUACUUUAUGUGUAAUGUUAAUUUAUUUAAUGGUUUUAUGGACUAUUUAAAUUAAGAAAAAAUACAAAAUAUAAAUUAAAAAAUAUGGGUUUAAUAGGUAAUAGGUUAGAUUAUUAAUUUAAAAAAUCUUAAAUAUGAAAAGUAUGAGUUUGAUUUGUGCUGCUGGUGCAAUUUGAAGGCGAAAUUUUUUUUAUUAGACAUGAAAAUUAGGUAGCGAACCAUUGGCAUUAAACAUAGUGCUUCUACAUAUAAAGAAUAAGUCAUUUUGAGCAUUCAAUAUCAAGAUUCAAUAGAAAAAUCCAAACCCACCUAAAUUUCUAUACGAGAAGCAUAAUAUUAUUCUGACAACAUUCAGGAAAAAAAAAAAAAACAUUCAGGAAAUACUUGGACUCUAGAGCUUGUAGCUAUGAAAUUAUCUGUCAGCAACCAUAAUUCCUAGGAUUUAAUCUCUUACAUAGCCACCAGCUUUUCUAGACUUUACAUUUUAAAUUGAAUUUGCUUGUUCCACAGAGAAGAUAUAUUGAUGGCUUUGCAUGCAACUUUGAUGCUUGGACUUGGAGUGUAAGUAAAAGAUUGAAAGAGGAAAAAUCACCCAUUUCAUUAUCACAGUAAAACUUUAUAUACAUUCACACAGCAGCUGGCAAUAAUAGAAAUUUAAGGUCCACACAUCUUUACUUUGCUGCUAUUUAUGCAGUUGGAUAGGAAGGCUCCAUGGCUAUUCCACAAAGACCUUCCUUAGCAUCAAUGUCUCUUUCCAUUCUUAUGUAUCCAUCUUCACCCCAUGAAGUUCCCCAUGAGUUCUUCACUAACCAGUACUUUUUACCAUCAUCACUUGUCCCAUACCCCACUGCAGUAACUCCAUGAUCUAGCUCAGUUCCACAAUCUCCUGUAAACACCCCACUUGAGUAGAACUGAAAGGCAGAUCCACUGGCAUCAAUUGCCACAGAAAGUGGCUGGUUGGCUACCGCCUUUCUUAGCGACUCCUCGCUGUUGGCAGGAACAUCUUCAUAACCUGUAAUCUUGGCUGCAUGGUUAGAUGCCUUCCCAUUGUUGCAAGUGCCAUCCACUCCUUGGUAGGGAUAGUUUGCUUCGGUUGUUAGGCCUCCAUUCUUUAUGAUGAAUUUAAAUGCAUCAUCCAUAAGGCCACCUUCACAGCCUUGAUCUUCACCACUCGUGUCACAAUCAACUAAUUCUUGCUCCGAAAGAGAGAUCAACUUGCCUGUUGAGAGCUUUGUAAUGCCUUCCAUGGCUGCCACAGCAGAAAAUGCCCAGCAACAUCCUGCAAUUUUUUCAUAAUAAUACAUGGUUAAGUGAGUAAAAGGAAAAUCAUAGUACCAUGUAAAUAGAAGAGGCUAUUGUGCCUUACCACAUUGGCUUUGGUCCUUGAUGGGUGUGACAGCUCCUUUCUUUGUCCAAUCAAUGGAAGUUGGCACUGUAGUGACAUUUUCAUACCUAAACGGUGAUGUUUCAGGUGUCUUAAAAAUGGAAGAACUUCUGUAUCCAUUUUUGGAAUUCCUGAAUUCUUCAUUAGUAAGGUCUGCAAAUGCAUUGACGCCAAGCUUGUAAGGCCUAUGCCCAGCAUUGUUGAAGGAUUCAAUGAACUCCACAUUCUCCUUGAAUAUAUUAAAGCGUCUUUCCUUCUCAGCAUUAUCUUUAUAUACACGUCCAUAUUUAGCAAUCCAAAUUUCAUGCUUCUCAGCCAUGGUUGCAUCCUUCAGAGAGCGGGACCAGGCUUGAGACACCCAGAGCCCCACUACCAAAACCACCAUAAAAAUUAUCUUGUUUUCAAGAAUUGCAGCCAUUGUUCUGCCAAGUAAAUAUAAUAUUGCUGUUCAAGCUGGUGAUUACAGGUGAAGAGUUUGUAGAUUGUGUCUGGCACGUUAGCUCUUUGAGGACUAAGGUUAUUUAUAGUUGUGUAUUAGUCCUUCCAUGGGAUUCCUUCAUAGUUGCAUUCCCAUACUACCUGGUGAAUCCGGCAAGUCGUGAAUGAUGUGGACAAUUGAAUUUCAGUUUGUUGACGUUGCUACUUUCUAUG
Molecule: long non-coding RNA, 4782 nt
Filed under: Manihot esculenta (cassava)
Lineage: Eukaryota; Viridiplantae; Streptophyta; Magnoliopsida; Malpighiales; Euphorbiaceae
Description: long non-coding RNA (MESC_LNC009463)
Source: RNAcentral